Molecule: long non-coding RNA, 279 nt
Filed under: Solanum tuberosum (potato)
Lineage: Eukaryota; Viridiplantae; Streptophyta; Magnoliopsida; Solanales; Solanaceae
Description: long non-coding RNA (STUB_LNC010049)
Source: RNAcentral
UCUAAAGUAAUCUGAAGUAUUUGUCUCUUGUCUUCUUCUUCAAAUCUGUCCAAAAAUAAUUGAUAGUUCAUCACUUCUUCUUGGAUUUGUUGGAUCUUGAUAAAGUUGUUGACACUGUCAUAUGAUUUUACUUUGCUAGUCGCAUCGGUAGGUGCCUUGGAACAAAAUCCUCACUCACCUUACCAUCCAACUAUGUUGUCUUCUAUGUGUCUUUCUUUUUGCAUUUGGUGCUUCCACUUCUUUGUUGUCUAGGUGAAAGAUCCCCCUCCUUAAUUAGCC